GAAGACUACGACGUUGAUAGGUUGGGUGUGUAAGCGCUGUGAGGCGUUGAGCUAACCAAUACUAAUUGCCCGUGAGGCUUGACCAUAUAACACCCAAACAAUU
This 103-nucleotide ribosomal RNA is filed under the name Pseudomonas sp. Its description in RNAcentral is "partial 23S ribosomal RNA". The stretch from base 1 to 86 matches the Rfam family "Bacterial large subunit ribosomal RNA", at positions 2840 to 2925 of the family's 2925-position model. The record is from RNAcentral. Lineage: Bacteria; Pseudomonadati; Pseudomonadota; Gammaproteobacteria; Pseudomonadales; Pseudomonadaceae.